Molecule: non-coding RNA, 448 nt
Organism: Pelobates cultripes (western spadefoot toad)
Lineage: Eukaryota; Metazoa; Chordata; Amphibia; Anura; Pelobatidae
Source: the annotation of a GenBank genome assembly
GGAUGAUGUGUGUUUCUGGAGUGAAUGCAGUUUGUGUGGUGGAUGGUGUGUGUAUAUUAAAUGUGGUGUGUGUGUUUGUGUAGUGGAUACAUUUUGUGUGUUUGUGUAGUGGAUGCAGUGUGUAUUUGUUUAGAAGAUGCUGUGUGUGUUUGUGGAGUGAAAGCAGUUUGUGUGGAGGAUGGUGUGUGUGGUGGAUGUGUCUUUAUGUUAAAUUUUAUUAAUAAAAAAAAAAAAAGUCUAAUCAUUUUAUUAUUUCAAAAAAUGUUUUAUUUCCUCCCUUCCCUGUCUCUUUCCUGUAGCCAGGGAGGGGUACACUGGAUUCCCUGGUGGUCCAGUCGGUGGCUCAGCUUAUUGGGCCAUCACACAGGGGCCCUGCAGUCUUUAUCUUUCCCCUUCGGGCUCUACUUCUGUUACGAGACCGGCAUGCAUUGCGUGCCGCGGAUCGCUG